GAUGAACGCUGGCGGCGUGCCUAAUACAUGCAAGUCGAGCGAACAGACGAGGAGCUUGCUCCUCUGACGUUAGCGGCGGACGGGUGAGUAACACGUGGAUAACCUACCUAUAAGACUGGGAUAACUUCGGGAAACCGGAGCUAAUACCGGAUAAUAUAUUGAACCGCAUGGUUCAAUAGUGAAAGACGGUUUUGCUGUCACUUAUAGAUGGAUCCGCGCCGCAUUAGCUAGUUGGUAAGGUAACGGCUUACCAAGGCAACGAUGCGUAGCCGACCUGAGAGGGUGGGGGCACACACGGGACUUGACACCGGUCCCGGCCCCAUACGGGAGGAGAAGGUAGGGAUUCUCCCAGAGAGGGCAAAGCCCUGAGGGAUCCCCGCGGCGGGAGUGAUGAGGGUCUUCGUAUCAAAAACCUUUUUUAUGGGAGAAAAAAAAAUGUUUAAGUAACUCGGCGCGUCUGGAGGGUCCCUAAUAGAAAGCCCGGGACAAGGCCGGGC
Molecule: ribosomal RNA, 497 nt
Filed under: uncultured bacterium
Lineage: Bacteria
Description: partial 16S ribosomal RNA
Rfam family: Bacterial small subunit ribosomal RNA
Source: RNAcentral